RNAcentral lists this unclassified non-coding RNA (252 nucleotides) under Hevea brasiliensis (rubber tree). The record is from RNAcentral. Lineage: Eukaryota; Viridiplantae; Streptophyta; Magnoliopsida; Malpighiales; Euphorbiaceae.
AGUACUAAAGCUAUUUCUCCAAAAGAUCCGUACAUUUAAGUAAACAAAUAUCAAAUUAUGAAUUACAAUACUUGAAAUGCAUAUUCAUCCAACCUCACAGAUUAAAUUUUUGGGUUCACAACUUAAACUUCUUAGAGGAGAAACCUAUCACCAAAUAAGUUUAUAUGAAAUGUCGUACAAAGCCAAUCCAAAGUUCAUCUUCUUUGACACUUCAAUUUAUGAUCUAACAUUACCACAUCAACACAAAUUAUA